GACGAACGCUGGCGGCGUGCUUAACACAUGCAAGUCGAACGGGCCUGUCUUCUUUUUUGGGGGGUGGGUUGAGUGGCGAACGGGUGAGUAUCACGUGAGUAACCUGCCCUUCGGUCCUGGAUAACCGCUUGAAAGGGCGGCUAAUACGGGGUGGUCCGGUUGGUCCGCAUGGGCUGGUCGGGAUAGAUUCACUGUUUUUGGUGUUUCGGCGGGGGAUGGGCUCGCGGCCUAUCAGCUUGUUGGUGGGGUGAUGGCCUACCAAGGCGGUGACGGGUAGCCGGCCUGGGAGGGUGGGCGGCCACACGGGGACGGAGCUACGGCCCAGACUCCUGCGGGAGGCAGCAGUGGGGGGUAUUGCACAAUGGGCGGAAGCCUGAUGCAGCGACGUCGCGUGAGGGAUGGAGGCCUUCGGGUUGUGAACCUCUGUUUCCGGUGGUGAAGGCCCUGUCCGUGUGGUGGGGUUGACGGUAGCCGGGGAUGAAGCGCCGGCUAACUACGUG
This 500-nucleotide ribosomal RNA is filed under the name uncultured bacterium. Its description in RNAcentral is "partial 16S ribosomal RNA". It matches the Rfam family "Bacterial small subunit ribosomal RNA", at positions 28 to 507 of the family's 1533-position model. The record is from RNAcentral.